Megalobrama amblycephala (Wuchang bream) is the source of this 357-nucleotide long non-coding RNA. RefSeq lists it as uncharacterized. Lineage: Eukaryota; Metazoa; Chordata; Actinopteri; Cypriniformes; Xenocyprididae. The transcript has 3 exons. The record is from RefSeq and is a predicted model, not a curated record.
UUUAGGGAGGGACACUGAUAUUUCCAGUACUGGUCAUUAAUAAACAGUGUUAACCACAGAAAGUCCUUCAAUGUGAAGCUAAAGUGCUUGAGUUAAAACAGUCAGUCAUUUGGUUGCUGUUGAUCUGAUGAGCUUCAACACGAUAUAUUUGAUGCUGAUGUUGGUCAGAAUGGCUUCUGCUCUUCCUCUGAUCUUUCUGCUCAUGAUUCACAGGGUUUCUAGUGCUGGUUGGGGUGUGAGUUACAGUCCUUCACACAUCUGUGCACUAAAGAACUCAUCAGUGAUAAUGAACUGCACUUAUACAUACCCUACUGGAUAUCAGAUCAAGAAAGCAUUCUGGACCAAAGGCCCUAUACA